RNAcentral lists this transfer RNA (77 nucleotides) under Actinomycetes bacterium. Its description in RNAcentral is "Actinobacteria bacterium tRNA-Met". It matches the Rfam family "tRNA". From Rfam's summary of the family: Transfer RNA (tRNA) molecules are approximately 80 nucleotides in length. RNAcentral also lists the same sequence under 3 other names. The record is from RNAcentral. Lineage: Bacteria; Bacillati; Actinomycetota; Actinomycetes.
CGCGGGGUGGAGCAGUCUGGUAGCUCGUCGGGCUCAUAACCCGAAGGUCAUAGGUUCAAAUCCUAUCCCCGCCACCA